UCAGUUGCGAUCUACGUCGGCGUUCCGCGCCGCGGAUAACCGUAGUAAUUCGUAGGGACUAAUACGUGCGAAGCGCCGAAGCCGCGAGGCGACGGCGUUCUCGCCGGAUGUAGGAACCGACCCGGGGACCGCCGGGGCAACCCGGCGCCCCCGAGACGGGGCGAACCACGGUGAAAUGACGGAUCGUCGGCCCCGCGCCGGCGACUCGCCGAAUGAGUUUCUGACCUAUCAACUCGAGACGGCGGGGUAGAGGCCCGCCGCGGUAACGACGGGUAACGGGGAAUCAGGGUUCGAUUCCGGAGAGGGAGCCCGAGAAACGGCUACCACUUCCAAGGAAGGCAGCAGGCGCGCAACUUACCCUAAUCUCGAUUCGAGGAGGUAGUGACAAGAAAUACCGAUGCGGGACCCUACGGGUGCCGCGUUCGGAAUGAGUACGAUUCGAACCACCUAACGAGGAACGAUCGGAGGGCAAGUCUGGUGCCAGCAGCCGCGGG
Molecule: ribosomal RNA, 494 nt
Filed under: uncultured eukaryote
Lineage: Eukaryota
Description: bacterial SSU rRNA
Rfam family: Eukaryotic small subunit ribosomal RNA
Source: RNAcentral